CGAUCCCAAAGAAAGGCCCGGCUAACUUCGUGCCAGCAGCCGCGGUAAGACGAAGGGGCCAAGCGUUGUUCGGAAUUAUUGGGCUUAAAGAGCACGUAGGCGGAAAGUUAAGUGUUUUGUGAAAUCCCUCGGCUUAACCGAGGAACUGCAGGGCAUACUGGCUUUCUUGAGGCAAGUAGGGGUGCAUGGAACUCUGGGUGGAGCGGUGAAAUGCGUAGAUAUCCAGAGGAACGCCAGCGGAGAAAUCGGUGCACUGGGCUUGUUCUGACGCUGAGGUGCGAAAGCGUGGGGAGCGAACGGGAUUAGAUACCCCGGUAGUCCACGCCGUAAACGAUGUCUACUAGGUCGUGGGGAAUCUGACUUUCUCGCGGCCGAAGCGAAGGUAUUAAGUAGACCGCCUGGGGAGUACGGUCGCAAGGCUAAAACUCAAAGGAAUUGACGGGGGCUCACACGAGCGGUGGAGCAUGUGGCUCAAUUCGAAGCAACGCGAAGAACCUUAUCCUGGGUUUGACAUGCUUGGAUGCCUGCCGUGAAAGCGGAUUUGGCUGCCUUCGGGUGAAACUUGCACAGGUGCUGCAUGGCUGUCGUCAGCUCGUGUCGUGAGAUGUUGGGUUAAGUCCCGUAACGAGCGAAACCCUUGUCGUUAGUUGCCAGCGCGUAAUGGCGGGGACUCUAACGAGACUGCCGGUGUUAAACCGGAGGAAGGUGGGGAUGACGUCAAGUCCUCAUGGCCUUUAUGCCCAGGGCUGCACACGUGCUACAAUGGUCCGGACAAACCGACGCAAGACCGUGAGGUGGAGCAAAUCGGAAAAACCGGGCCCCAGUUCGGAUUGCAGGCUGCAACUCGCCUGCAUGAAGUCGGAAUCGCUAGUAAUCGCAGAUCAGCUAUGCUGCGGUGAAUAUGUUCCUGAGCCUUGUACACACCGCCCGUCAAGUCAUGGAAGCUGGGAGUACCUGAAGUCGGGUAGUUAACUUUCGAGAGACGCCUGCCGAUGGUAAGCUCGGUGACUGGGGCUAAGUCGUAACAAGGUAACCUUAAUUAAAA
RNAcentral lists this ribosomal RNA (1045 nucleotides) under uncultured bacterium. RNAcentral describes it as "bacterial SSU rRNA". It matches the Rfam family "Bacterial small subunit ribosomal RNA", at positions 476 to 1511 of the family's 1533-position model. The record is from RNAcentral.